UGUUGUGAGCUGCAAAUUGUAGUAUAAAGUGGUAGUGUAUAGAAAUAUGCUUUGUUCAAGAAUGGAACUUGGUUGUGUCCACAAGUGCUAGGGCGGAUUGAUUGUUGCAGUAAAUGAAGAUAGGUUGUUUUAGGAUUUUGGCGUAGUGGAGGUCAUGAACUACACAAGCUCGGAUGCCGUCUUAGCUAUGGCGACGUAUUUGGCUUUGGUGCUCGAUAAAGUAGUGGAUUUCUGACGCGUGGAGCUUCAACUGAUGGCGCCAUGGGAGAGCAGGAAGACGUAACUAGAAGUAGAACGGCAUUCAUCAAUCUCACCUACCUAGUCGGCAUCACUGAAGCCGUGAAGGAAGCGCGGAAUAGAGGAAGAUGUGCAAUAUUCUAACUACAAUCCAAUCGUGCUGCGAAGGGCCUGAGUAAUACAUAGCCAACCGUGGUCAAGAUCGCAGGUUACCUGCAAGCUUAAGAGGUGAUGAACCUUGCCGAUAUCGGACAGCAAGAACUGCACAUGAAGUUGAGAUUUUAUCGUAUGAAGCAGCGGGAGAUUGUUUGCUGCGAUUAGGGUAUCGUCAACGUAAAGGGUGAGCACCGCAAAAUCCACUCCUUGUUGUAAGUAGUAAACAUUUCCAUCCGCUGCCGAGUUGGUGAAGUCGAGGAUGAAGAGGAAUUGGUUGAUGAUUUUGAACCAUUCCAGAGGGGACUACUUCAACCCAUGUAGGGUUUUACGCAGUCUGCACACCAUGCCGGGGCAGGAGAGAGAUAAAUCCUCCGAGACUCGCAUGUAUAUUUCUUCGUGCAAGAUCCCAUUGUGAAAGGCCGUCUUCACGUCCAUUUGAUGCACAUGAAGAUUCAACUAGGCGGCAAGGGCAAGUAUAAGGCGGAUCGAUUGGAUCCGCACAAUCUGGGAAAAGGUUUCAUGGGAGAUCGGUGAAUGUCCAGGUGCCAUUAACCGCAUGGAAGUUCAGUUCUUCGGCUAUGGCGGACUGCUAGUGAGAGCUUUCGGAAGACCGCAUCGACUAGACAUAGGAGGCAGGUUCUGAGGGCACCAAAGCAACGGUGAGUAGAGCGUGCUUCGAACGAGAAGAACAAGUUGAAGGAGGUUGCAGGCGAAGUGAGUUUGGGUUAUAGUUCUUGGAGGGAUCUCAUAGAAGGGGUACACCCUUGUUGAGGCGAGCAGACUGUCAGAUGGACACAGGAGGAGUACUGGUCGCGGACAAGUCAAAUAUAAAAGCCUCAUGUUCAGAAUCAUGAGCAUGAACAUGAUGCCCCAAAUGUGGCAUGAGGGCUAGGCUGGUGGAGGACAUGACUGCACGUCGCAGAAAGGGUCGAGAUAGUGAUGGAGCGCUCGCUGCGAACGGGGCCACAGGUAGGGUGUCUAGUGCAAGGAGUGUUUGCUCAUGUUGGGACUGCAUAGGUACCAAACUUGACUCCAAAGGAAGCACAACUUGGACGGUUGCCGAUCCAAAAGUUGGGAUGUCUAGGACCAAAGAAGGGCCAAGUGCUUGAGGUGGAGGCAGCGGGCUAGAUUGCAUUGUCAAAGACACAAUGCAUGUAGGGCUAGAUUGCAUUGUCUAAGACACAAUGCAUGUAGGCUUUGAUGGUGCAACUUUAAUAGAAAUUGAAGGUUGAGCAUAAGAAAGAUGCAGGUGUGGAGCAACAGGGGAAACAUGUUCAUGUGGAGCUGUAGCAGAAGAAGAACCGCUAGGGUUAUAAGUUGUGGUAAGUUAACCUUGAAUGCCAUGUGUUUCUAAGUAUUGAUUGAAUUCAAAGGAAAGGUACUCUUCUCCUUGAUUUGAAUCAAAAGAACAAAUUUUAUAGCUAGUUUGAUUUUUAGUCCAUGUGUAGAAGAUUUUGAAUAUAUGUAGGCAUUCAUUUUUUCAUUAUAGGAGUUAAAGCAUUGUAUAUCUAGAAAAAUCGUCCAUGAAUGUUAUAUAGUAUCUGUAGCCAAAGAAUGUAGGUGUGACUAUGUGGCCAUUGAUGUCAAAGUGAAUUAGUUUGAGAAGCUAAGUUGUAUACAUACUAACUUGUUUUGAGAAUUUUGUAGAAGCUUGUCUGCUAUAAAACCAUGUUGAGCAAAUAUGAUUCAAUAUUGUUUUUAGAGGUAAUUUUAUAAUGAUUGAUGUAUGGACAAGCUGCUUAAAACAAUCAUUGUUGGGGUGACCAAGCUGGCAAUGCCAUAAAGCUGAUUAUAGGCUCGGAAGAGGAACAACAAAGAAAGAUGCCUUGUGUUGAAAUAGAGUCAAUAGUGGAGUAGGGCGAGAGUACUCGGAUUAAACAAAGAAGAUUGGAACAGUGUUCAAUAUGGGCAGCUAUGGAAUGAGUGCAUGGGACUAAUACUUCAAGGUACCAUGUUGAAUUGGCAUCAUAGGUACAUUGUUGAUAAUAGCAAUGAGUGGUAAGACUAGCAAGGAUAAUUGUAAGCCAUGAAUGUUUUAUGCAAAAGAAGGAUCUAAGUCGAGUGUCUAGCAUUCAAGGUUGUAUAUAAUAGUGGGAGGCAUUGCUAGAGAGUAUUGUAAUAUCUAGUAGUCAUUAUUAUUCACAAUAGUGGGAAGCUUUGUUGGUGAAGAUGGGAGUGUUAUUGAUGGCCAAUGUGGUAUAGAGUGAUUAUAUAUCAAUAGAGUGGAAGUAGUCACACAAGGAAGCUAUAUGAGCAUUGGCAAUUUUAGCAUUAAGAGUUGAGGUGCCUUCAAUAGAAAAUUAUAAAAUGGACAAGAAAAGUUGUCGUAGAUGCGAUAGAGCUCUCAAAUAGUCAAUGGUAUGUGUGUCCACCUGUUGCUAUUGUAAUUGUGUUGACCUAAGUAAAUAUAGAUUAGAUUGAAGAAG
Long non-coding RNA from Physcomitrium patens, 2819 nucleotides. RefSeq lists it as uncharacterized. The record is from RefSeq and is a predicted model, not a curated record. Lineage: Eukaryota; Viridiplantae; Streptophyta; Bryopsida; Funariales; Funariaceae.